CAGGAAUUAACUGCAUGGACAGAACUAAUACAAAACUGAGUCACCCCUCUGCUCACUGAGAUAGAUGCUAUCUGAUUGCCUCCUUUGGAAAGGCUAAGCAGAAACUCAAAAGAAUGCAACUUUCCAUCUCUCACCUAUCUGUGACCUGGAAGCCCAGUCCCUGCUUUGAGUCUUCCUGCCUUUGCUUCAAGCUGUCCCGCCUUUCCAGACCAAACCAAUGUACUUCUUACAUAUAUUGAUGUCUCAUGUCUCAUGUCUCCCUAAAAUGUAUAAAACUAAACUGUGCCCCUACCACCUUGGGCACAUGUCGUCAGGACUUCCUGAGGCUGUGUCAUGGGCAC
RNAcentral lists this long non-coding RNA (341 nucleotides) under Homo sapiens (human). Its description in RNAcentral is "non-protein coding lnc-S100G-1:1". Lineage: Eukaryota; Metazoa; Chordata; Mammalia; Primates; Hominidae. The record is from RNAcentral.